Molecule: ribosomal RNA, 816 nt
Filed under: uncultured Pseudoalteromonas sp.
Lineage: Bacteria; Pseudomonadati; Pseudomonadota; Gammaproteobacteria; Alteromonadales; Pseudoalteromonadaceae
Description: bacterial SSU rRNA
Rfam family: Bacterial small subunit ribosomal RNA
Source: RNAcentral
GGCGGACGGGUGAGUAAUGCUUGGGAACAUGCCUUGAGGUGGGGGACAACAGUUGGAAACGACUGCUAAUACCGCAUAAUGUCUACGGACCAAAGGGGGCUUCGGCUCUCGCCUUUAGAUUGGCCCAAGUGGGAUUAGCUAGUUGGUGAGGUAAUGGCUCACCAAGGCGACGAUCCCUAGCUGGUUUGAGAGGAUGAUCAGCCACACUGGGACUGAGACACGGCCCAGACUCCUACGGGAGGCAGCAGUGGGGAAUAUUGCACAAUGGGCGCAAGCCUGAUGCAGCCAUGCCGCGUGUGUGAAGAAGGCCUUCGGGUUGUAAAGCACUUUCAGUCAGGAGGAAAGGUUAGUAGUUAAUACCUGCUAGCUGUGACGUUACUGACAGAAGAAGCACCGGCUAACUCCGUGCCAGCAGCCGCGGUAAUACGGAGGGUGCGAGCGUUAAUCGGAAUUACUGGGCGUAAAGCGUACGCAGGCGGUUUGUUAAGCGAGAUGUGAAAGCCCCGGGCUCAACCUGGGAACUGCAUUUCGAACUGGCAAACUAGAGUGUGAUAGAGGGUGGUAGAAUUUCAGGUGUAGCGGUGAAAUGCGUAGAGAUCUGAAGGAAUACCGAUGGCGAAGGCAGCCACCUGGGGUCAACACUGACGCUCAUGUACGAAAGCGUGGGGAGCAAACGGGAUUAGAUACCCCGGUAGUCCACGCCGUAAACGAUGUCUACUAGAAGCUCGGAGCCUCGGGUUCUGUUUUUCAAAGCUAACGCAUUAAGUAGACCCGCCUGGGGAGUACGGCCGCAAAGGUUUAAAACUCAAAUGAUUU